This 284-nucleotide unclassified non-coding RNA is filed under the name plant metagenome. RNAcentral's name for it is "partial contains small subunit ribosomal RNA, internal transcribed spacer 1, and 5.8S ribosomal RNA". The stretch from base 1 to 54 matches the Rfam family "Eukaryotic small subunit ribosomal RNA", at positions 1778 to 1831 of the family's 1831-position model. The record is from RNAcentral.
GGAAGUAAAAGUCGUAACGAGGUCUCCGUUGGUGAACCAGCGGAGGGAUCAUUACCGAGUUUACAACUCCCAAACCCCUAUGUGAACGUUACCAAACUGUUGCCUCGGCGGGAAAUUCAUGCCCCGGGCGCGUCGCAGCCCCGGACCAAGGCGCCCGCCGGAGGACCAACCAAAACUCUUUUGUAUGUCCCUCGCGGACUUUUAUAAUUCUGAACCAUCUCGGCGCCCCUAGCGGGCGUUUCGAAAAUGAAUCAAAACUUUCAACAACGGAUCUCUUGGUUCUG